GAGCGGACAGAUGGGAGCUUGCUCCCUGAUGUUAGCGGCGGACGGGUGAGUAACACGUGGGUAACCUGCCUGUAAGACUGGGAUAACUCCGGGAAACCGGGGCUAAUACCGGAUGGUUGUUUGAACCGCAUGGUUCAAACAUAAAAGGUGGCUUCGGCUACCACUUACAGAUGGACCCGCGGCGCAUUAGCUAGUUGGUGAGGUAACGGCUCACCAAGGCAACGAUGCGUAGCCGACCUGAGAGGGUGAUCGGCCACACUGGGACUGAGACACGGCCCAGACUCCUACGGGAGGCAGCAGUAGGGAAUCUUCCGCAAUGGACGAAAGUCUGACGGAGCAACGCCGCGUGAGUGAUGAAGGUUUUCGGAUCGUAAAGCUCUGUUGUUAGGGAAGAACAAGUACCGUUCGAAUAGGGCGGUACCUUGACGGUACCUAACCAGAAAGCCACGGCUAACUACGUGCCAGCAGCCGCGGUAAUACGUAGGUGGCAAGCGUUGUCCGGAAUUAUUGGGCGUAAAGGGCUCGCAGGCGGUUUCUUAAGUCUGAUGUGAAAGCCCCCGGCUCAACCGGGGAGGGUCAUUGGAAACUGGGGAACUUGAGUGCAGAAGAGGAGAGUGGAAUUCCACGUGUAGCGGUGAAAUGCGUAGAGAUGUGGAGGAACACCAGUGGCGAAGGCGACUCUCUGGUCUGUAACUGACGCUGAGGAGCGAAAGCGUGGGGAGCGAACAGGAUUAGAUACCCUGGUAGUCCACGCCGUAAACGAUGAGUGCUAAGUGUUAGGGGGUUUCCGCCCCUUAGUGCUGCAGCUAACGCAUUAAGCACUCCGCCUGGGGAGUACGGUCGCAAGACUGAAACUCAAAGGAAUUGACGGGGCCCCCCCCC
Molecule: ribosomal RNA, 882 nt
Filed under: Bacillus subtilis
Lineage: Bacteria; Bacillati; Bacillota; Bacilli; Caryophanales; Bacillaceae
Description: bacterial SSU rRNA
Rfam family: Bacterial small subunit ribosomal RNA
Source: RNAcentral